Molecule: ribosomal RNA, 752 nt
Filed under: uncultured Comamonadaceae bacterium
Lineage: Bacteria; Pseudomonadati; Pseudomonadota; Betaproteobacteria; Burkholderiales; Comamonadaceae
Description: bacterial SSU rRNA
Rfam family: Bacterial small subunit ribosomal RNA
Source: RNAcentral
AUUGAACGCUGGCGGCAUGCUUACACAUGCAAGUCGAACGGCAGCGCGGGAGCAAUCAUGGUGGCGAGUGGCGAACGGGUGAGUAAUACAUCGGAACGUGCCCAAUCGUGGGGGAUAACGCAGCGAAAGCUGUGCUAAUACCGCAUACGAUCUACGGAUGAAAGCAGGGGAUCGCAAGACCUUGCGCGAAUGGAGCGGCCGAUGGCAGAUUAGGUAGUUGGUGAGGUAAAGGCUCACCAAGCCGUCGAUCUGUAGCUGGUCUGAGAGGACGACCAGCCACACUGGGACUGAGACACGGCCCAGACUCCUACGGGAGGCAGCAGUGGGGAAUUUUGGACAAUGGGCGAAAGCCUGAUCCAGCCAUGCCGCGUGCAGGAUGAAGGCCUUCGGGUUGUAAACUGCUUUUGUACGGAACGAAACGGCCUUUUCUAAUAAAGAGGGCUAAUGACGGUACCGUAAGAAUAAGCACCGGCUAACUACGUGCCAGCAGCCGCGGUAAUACGUAGGGUGCAAGCGUUAAUCGGAAUUACUGGGCGUAAAGCGUGCGCAGGCGGUUAUGUAAGACAGUUGUGAAAUCCCCGGGCUCAACCUGGGAACUGCAUCUGUGACUGCAUAGCUAGAGUACGGUAGAGGGGGAUGGAAUUCCGCGUGUAGCAGUGAAAUGCGUAGAUAUGCGGAGGAACACCGAUGGCGAAGGCAAUCCCCUGGACCUGUACUGACGCUCAUGCACGAAAGCGUGGGGAGCAAACAGG